RNAcentral lists this long non-coding RNA (636 nucleotides) under Ananas comosus (pineapple). RNAcentral describes it as "long non-coding RNA (ACOM_LNC040507)". Lineage: Eukaryota; Viridiplantae; Streptophyta; Magnoliopsida; Poales; Bromeliaceae. The record is from RNAcentral.
UAUAAUUGUAUAUAUAUCUCUCUAUGCCUGCUUAGACCUAGUGGGUAGAUCGGUGGAGUCGGCGGCCGAACCCACUGGGAACUAAGGAAGUUAGUUCUCACACCCUACAUUACAGGUACUGGUUCGAGUAUUCCCAGCGAGCGGGAGGAUCGCGGCAAGGGCAUAGCGCCCUAGCGGUGUCGGUUGAUAGUUUGCUUCCUAUAUUGCAUUAGUCCUACCCUAUGUUUACAUUUUGAGAGUAGAUCUUGUAUAGGGUGAGGUUUGAGAGCAUAUGAUGUAUUUAUAUUUUGGAGAAAAAAAAUGCAAGUUGUAUCGAUGCUUAAAGUUUAAUGAAAUUGAAAGAGCUUAAACAAUUUCAAGUUUUAUGGUUUAAAUAGUUAAGUUCUCUCUUUUGUAUACUUGUAUGGUAUUCACUCGUAUCGCUUGCUCUUUGGUUAUUUAGCACUGUUUGUGCUUCUUCGUUGUUGUUGUAUAGAUCGUGUAUGAUUACAAGUGAUUCCUGGGUACUUGUGUACAUGAUCUCGUUGUUGAGCCUAGGGCGGACAGGGGAGACUCUGUCCGUUCGGCCUCACGCCCGCCGUGCCCGAACCGCGCCAAAUUGGUAGCGGUCUCGGGGCGGGGCGUGACAGAAACAGU